AGGAUCCUGGCUCUAGAAGAGAAUUUCAUGCUACAGUUCAAAAUGGAUGCCUCCAGUCAAGAAGACAGAAAGAGAGACUUUGACAAAAUAUUCAACCACUAUGAUGUUAGUAACACCGGAGCUUUGGAAGGACCAGAGGUGGAUGGCUUUGUAAAAGACAUGAUGGAACUGGUCAGGGUAAGUUGUGGGGAAGAAUAUCAGACAAUAUCUUUAUGAAUGUGCCACAAACAUGCUCCUAUAAUCAACCAAAUGUCUUUAACAUGGGACAAUACAUGCUCCUAUUAUAAUCGACUAUAUGUCUUUGUCAAGGUCACGUGGGACAAUAUUGUGUUCGGAAUGGUAGAAUAAAGUGUCUAUUGUUUUAUCCUGUUGUGUUGUAUAUCUUUAUGAGUCAGUCUUAACAUGAUC
Molecule: long non-coding RNA, 408 nt
Organism: Oncorhynchus masou masou (cherry salmon)
Lineage: Eukaryota; Metazoa; Chordata; Actinopteri; Salmoniformes; Salmonidae
Exons: 3
Source: RefSeq, a predicted model, not a curated record